RNAcentral lists this ribosomal RNA (253 nucleotides) under uncultured bacterium. RNAcentral describes it as "partial 16S ribosomal RNA". It matches the Rfam family "Bacterial small subunit ribosomal RNA", at positions 524 to 776 of the family's 1533-position model. The record is from RNAcentral.
UACGUAGGGUCCAAGCGUUAUCCGGAUUUACUGGGCGUAAAGAGCAUGUAGGCGGUUGUUUAAGUCUGACGUGAAAGCUCCUGGCUUAACUGGGAGAGGCCGUUGGAAACUGGACAGCUUGAGGGUGGUAGAGGAAAGUGGAAUUCCCGGUGUAGCGGUGGAAUGCGUAGAUAUCGGGAGGAACACCAGUGGCGAAGGCGGCUUUCUGGGCCACACCUGACGCUGAGAUGCGAAAGCUAGGGGAGAGAACGGG